AGCAAACAGGAUUAGAUACCCUGGUAGUCCACGCCGUAAACGAUGUCGAUUUGGAGGUUGUGCCCUUGAGGCGUGGCUUCCGGAGCUAACGCGUUAAAUCGACCGCCUGGGGAGUACGGCCGCAAGGUUAAAACUCAAAUGAAUUGACGGGGGCCCGCACAAGCGGUGGAGCAUGUGGUUUAAUUCGAUGCAACGCGAAGAACCUUACCUGGUCUUGACAUCCACAGAACUUUCCAGAGAUGGAUUGGUGCCUUCGGGAACUGUGAGACAGGUGCUGCAUGGCUGUCGUCAGCUCGUGUUGUGAAAUGUUGGGUUAAGUCCCGCAACGAGCGCAACCCUUAUCCUUUGUUGCCAGCGGUU
Molecule: ribosomal RNA, 360 nt
Filed under: Klebsiella pneumoniae
Lineage: Bacteria; Pseudomonadati; Pseudomonadota; Gammaproteobacteria; Enterobacterales; Enterobacteriaceae
Description: bacterial SSU rRNA
Rfam family: Bacterial small subunit ribosomal RNA
Source: RNAcentral